UGGCUCAGGAUGAACGCUGGCGGCGUGCCUAAUACAUGCAAGUCGAGCGCAAAGAUCAGGAGCUUGCUCCUGUGAUUUGAGCGGCGGACGGGUGAGUAACACGUAGGCAACCUACCCUUGAGAUUGGGAUAACUACCGGAAACGGUAGCUAAUACCGGAUACGACAUUUCUGCAUAAGUAGAAUUGUUAAAAGGCGGAUUUAUCUGCCGCUCAUGGAUGGGCCUGCGGUGCAUUAGCUAGUUGGUGAGAUAGUAGCUCACCAAGGCGACGAUGCAUAGCCGACCUGAGAGGGUGAUCGGCCACACUGGGACUGAGACACGGCCCAGACUCCUACGGGAGGCAGCAGUAGGGAAUCUUCCGCAAUGGACGCAAGUCUGACGGAGCAACGCCGCGUGAGUGAUGAAGGGUUUCGGCUCGUAAAACUCUGUUGUUAAGGAAGAAUACUUGAGGUAGUAACUGGCCUUGAGAUGACGGUACUUAACCAGAAAGCCACGGCUAACUACGUGCCAGCAGCCGCGGUA
Molecule: ribosomal RNA, 521 nt
Filed under: Jeotgalicoccus psychrophilus
Lineage: Bacteria; Bacillati; Bacillota; Bacilli; Caryophanales; Staphylococcaceae
Description: bacterial SSU rRNA
Rfam family: Bacterial small subunit ribosomal RNA
Source: RNAcentral